Molecule: ribosomal RNA, 406 nt
Filed under: uncultured bacterium
Lineage: Bacteria
Description: partial 16S ribosomal RNA
Rfam family: Bacterial small subunit ribosomal RNA
Source: RNAcentral
AUUGAACGCUGGCGGCAUGCCUAACACAUGCAAGUCGAACGAGUGGCGGACGGGUGAGUAAUGUCUGGGAAACUGCCUGAUGGAGGGGGAUAACUACUGGAAACGGUAGCUAAUACCGCAUACCCUCGGAUGUGCCCAGGUGGGAUUAGCUAGGUGGGGGGGUAACGGCUCACCUAGGCGACGAUCACUAGCUGGUCUGAGAGGAUAACCAGCCACACUGGAACUGAAACACGGUCCAGACUCCUACGGGAGGCAGAAGUGGGGAAUAUUUGACAAUGGGCGCAAGCCAGAUGCAGCCAUGCCGCGUGGAUGAAGAAGGCCUUCGGGUUGUAAAGUGCUUUCAGCGGGGAGGCGUUACCCGCAGAAGAAGCACCGGCUAACUCCGUGCCAGCAGCCGCGGUAAUUC